GGAGAUUCAGCGCGUCUCCGAGCUGGCGAGCGGCGGGGUUAGCGACGGACGUCCUUCGGGACGGCUGCGCGCCCCGUCACCGCGUCCGGUUUGGAACGCGUGCACUUCUCCCCUAGUAGGACGUCGCGACCCGUUGGGUGUCGGCCUUAGGCUAGCGGUGGAGCCCGCGAGGACGGUCCCGGCCGUCCCUUGCGGACCCGCGAUGCCCGGCCGGCUCGCCCGACGGUUCCGAAAUGGCUUGGAGCCGCGAUUCGUUCGCGUCCGGCCCGUCGCAAGCUCGGACGGUUGCCCGACAGUCGGACCUAGCGCCGACACUGGAGCCGUUCGGCUGCUGGCGGCGGAGACCUCGGACGGACUCCUAUCACGCCAGUCGGCGACGCUUUAGCUUUGGGUACUUUCAGGA
This 403-nucleotide ribosomal RNA is filed under the name Staphylinidae sp. NZAC03012177. RNAcentral describes it as "eukaryotic LSU rRNA". The record is from RNAcentral. Lineage: Eukaryota; Metazoa; Arthropoda; Insecta; Coleoptera; Staphylinidae.